This 669-nucleotide transfer RNA is filed under the name uncultured cyanobacterium. RNAcentral describes it as "partial contains 16S ribosomal RNA, 16S-23S ribosomal RNA intergenic spacer, and 23S ribosomal RNA". The stretch from base 246 to 318 matches the Rfam family "tRNA". The record is from RNAcentral. Lineage: Bacteria; Bacillati; Cyanobacteriota.
CAGGGAGACAAAAACUGAUUAUUGAUGUCUGAAUAUUAAUUUAGGCCGUAAUCCUGUCACCUUAGGUCGAUCGGUACCUCAGAUUAAAUUUUAAAAGUUCAUUUUUAAAAUUUAAUUUCAGUUCCUAAACUUGUCUAGGUCACACCCAACAAACUUUCUCCUGGGCUAUUAGCUCAGGCGGUUAGAGCGCACCCCUGAUAAGGGUGAGGUCCCUGGUUCAAGUCCAGGAUGGCCCAUUCGUUGUUGGGGGUAUAGCUCAGUUGGUAGAGCGCCUGCUUUGCAAGCAGGAUGUCAGCGGUUCGAGUCCGCUUACCUCCACUGAUCAACUACCUAAUAACUCAAUUGGAGAUUGUUAUUUGUUUGAUUUGACUUAGAUGUUGUUCAUCUGAAUGAACCUAGCUUCCUAUCAUUCCAAUUCUUAUAGGUUGAUAAGACGCUGGGCUCACUGAUAGAAAUAUCAGUUUGAUUCAGCAGAACCUUGACAACUGCAUAGGAAAGUCUGGAAAGAAAGCAUCUCAUAGAUGUAUAUAGAAAAAUCGUACUUAGAAAACUAAGUUUGAAAUUUCUAUAUCAAUUCUAAAGUUAGAGCAAAAUUUGUAUAGCUCAAUUAUCUUUUUAAUUAGUUUUCACUAGUUAUUAAGAUCAAGUUAAUAGAUUGAUUAAUUAAAU